Molecule: long non-coding RNA, 510 nt
Organism: Oncorhynchus tshawytscha (Chinook salmon)
Lineage: Eukaryota; Metazoa; Chordata; Actinopteri; Salmoniformes; Salmonidae
Source: Ensembl
UUAUCUUUUUAGGUUUCGUCAAAAUAGCUACCAUCACAAUUACCACAUUUCCCAUCACAUUUCAUUGUUCACACGCUUCAAAUACAACAGGUGUAGAGUAACAACAGGUGUAGAGUAACAACAGGUGUAGAGUAACAACAGGUGUAGUGUAACAACAGGUGUAGAGUAACAGGUGUAGCGUGACAACAGGUGUAGAGUAACAACAGGUGUAGUGUAACAACAGGUGUAGAGUAACAGGUGCAGAGUAACAACAGGUGUAGAGUAACAACAGGUGUAGCGUGACAACAGGUGUAGAGUAACAACAGGUGUAGAGUAACAACAGGUGUAGAGUAACAACAGGUGUAGAGUAUCAACAGGUGUAGAGUAUCAACAGGUGUAGAGUAACAACAGGUGUAGAGUGACAACAGGUGUAGAGUAACAACAGGUGUAGAGUAUCAACAGGUGUAGAGUAACAACAGGUGUAGAGCAACAACAGGUGUAGAGCAACAACAGGUGUAGAGUAACAACAGG